Molecule: long non-coding RNA, 713 nt
Organism: Corticium candelabrum
Lineage: Eukaryota; Metazoa; Porifera; Homoscleromorpha; Homosclerophorida; Plakinidae
Exons: 3
Source: RefSeq, a predicted model, not a curated record
GGGAAAUAAUCGGUGUGGCUGUGCAGAGUCGCGUAUGGAGUGAAUUCGUCGCUGUUUCCUCGACACUUUGUUCACAGCUCACCAAAGCUCGUGCUCAUGGAAAACGGACUCUCCCGGAUAGAAGAAUCGAACCAGCGCUAACACAACUGAGAAAAAAGCAAACAUCAUUGAGACUGGAAGAUGUCACAUAGAGUUCCAGAUGACUUGAAGGGUCUGUUUGAUGCCAGCAUAUCUGUUGAGAUAGAUGUUCUCACAUUCACAAGAUUGGUUGUAUAGGAAAUGAUCAAUAGUCUUCAUUGAAGUAUGACAUACUAUUUAGGAGAAACAAUUAUGCAAGUUUACGAGAGGUGAUUAUCCAUAUGCUGAAAUAUUGUACAUAUUUCUGUCUAUUGGAACCCAGCUUGAAGGAUGAUAAGUUUGAACAUGAACUAACAGCAUCAGUUGUUCAUCCACUAAGAAAUGUUGGUCUUUGUGUUCAUGUUGAAGCAGCUAUGCAAGACGAUGUGAUCAUAAACUGGCCGAGACCUGUAGUUAGCGCAAAGGCUAGAAUAUCUUGAGCUACUUUCUGUGAAUAAAUUGCUUUGCAGGUGUGCAUCAAUACUUAAUUGUAAGGGGAGACAUGUAAUUGUUGAAACUCUCAAUGAUAUUGAAAUAGAUCUGUAAUUAUAGAGACCACGCUGCAUGUGAUCUUAAUUGAUACAAAUAUAACUAGA